GGUAACCGUAAACCGGGUGCUUGCAUCUGGGGAUUAGUGGCGAACGGGUGAGUAACACGUGAGCAACCUGCCCCUGACUCUGGGAUAAGCGCUGGAAACGGCGUCUAAUACUGGAUAUGUCCCGUCACCGCAUGGUGUGCGGGUGGAAAGAUUUUUCGGUUGGGGAUGGGCUCGCGGCCUAUCAGCUUGUUGGUGAGGUAAUGGCUCACCAAGGCGUCGACGGGUAGCCGGCCUGAGAGGGUGACCGGCCACACUGGGACUGAGACACGGCCCAGACUCCUACGGGAGGCAGCAGUGGGGAAUAUUGCACAAUGGGCGGAAGCCUGAUGCAGCAACGCCGCGUGAGGGAUGACGGCCUUCGGGUUGUAAACCUCUUUUAGCAGGGAAGAAGCGAAAGUGACGGUACCUGCAGAAAAAGCACCGGCUAACUACGUGCCAGCAGCCGCGGUAAUACGUAGGGUGCAAGCGUUAUCCGGAAUUAUUGGGCGUAAAGAGCUCGUAGGCGGUCUGUCGCGUCUGCUGUGAAAUUCCGAGGCUCAACCUCGGGCUUGCAGUGGGUACGGGCAGACUAGAGUGCGGUAGGGGAGAUUGGAAUUCCUGGUGUACGGUGGAAUGCGCAAUUCAGGAGAACACCGAUGGCGAAGGC
This 646-nucleotide ribosomal RNA is filed under the name Microbacterium esteraromaticum. RNAcentral describes it as "bacterial SSU rRNA". It matches the Rfam family "Bacterial small subunit ribosomal RNA", at positions 61 to 722 of the family's 1533-position model. The record is from RNAcentral. Lineage: Bacteria; Bacillati; Actinomycetota; Actinomycetes; Micrococcales; Microbacteriaceae.